RNAcentral lists this ribosomal RNA (353 nucleotides) under Eukaryota sp. RNAcentral's name for it is "SSU rRNA". It matches the Rfam family "Eukaryotic small subunit ribosomal RNA", at positions 1325 to 1699 of the family's 1831-position model. The record is from RNAcentral.
UCGUUAACGAACGAGACCUUAACCUGCUAAAUAGUUACGUUCACUUUGGUGGAUGUUUAACUUCUUAGAGGGACUAUGGAUGUUUAAUCCAUGGAAGUUUGAGGCAAUAACAGGUCUGUGAUGCCCUUAGAUGUUCUGGGCCGCACGCGCGCUACACUGAUCAAGUCAACGAGUUUACAACCUUGGCCGGAAGGUCUGGGUAAUCUUUUGAAACUUGAUCGUGCUGGGGAUAGUCCAUUGCAAUUAUUGGACUUCAACGAGGAAUUCCUAGUAAGCGUGAGUCAUCAGCUCGCGUUGAUUACGUCCCUGCCCUUUGUACACACCGCCCGUCGCUAAUACCGAUUGAAUGGCUA